RNAcentral lists this ribosomal RNA (446 nucleotides) under uncultured bacterium. Its description in RNAcentral is "partial 16S ribosomal RNA". It matches the Rfam family "Bacterial small subunit ribosomal RNA", at positions 338 to 795 of the family's 1533-position model. The record is from RNAcentral.
CCUACGGGUGGCAGCAGUGAGGAAUAUUGGUCAAUGGCCGGAAGGCUGAACCAGCCAUGCCGCGUGAACGAAGAAGUUAUUCGUAAUGUAAAGUUCUUUUAACAGGGAAGAAAGAGAAAUUUGACGGUACCUGAAGAAUAAGCUCCGGCUAACUACGUGCCAGCAGCCGCGGUAAUACGUAGGGAGCGAGCGUUAUCCGGAAUUAUUGGGCGUAAAGGGUGCGUAGAUGGCAUAGUAAGUCUUUUGUAAAAAUGCUGGGCUCAACCCAGUAGGGCAAAAGAUACUGCAAAGCUAGAGUAUGACAGAGGCAAGGGGAACUACAUGUGUAGGCGUAAAAUGCGUUAAUAUAUGUAAGAACACCAGUGGCGAAGGCGGCUUGCUGGGUCGAUACUGACAUUGAGGCACGAAAGCGUGGGGAGCAAACAGGAUUAGAUACCCGGGUAGUC